Molecule: ribosomal RNA, 301 nt
Filed under: uncultured bacterium
Lineage: Bacteria
Description: partial 16S ribosomal RNA
Rfam family: Bacterial small subunit ribosomal RNA
Source: RNAcentral
CAGUCGCCGCGGGAAAACGGAGGGUGCAAGCGUUAAUCGGAAUUACUGGGCGUAAAGCGCACGCAGGCGGUCUGUCAAGUCAGAUGUGAAAUCCCCGGGCUUAACCUGGGAACUGCAUUUGAAACUGGCAGGCUAGAGUCUUGUAGAGGGGGGUAGAAUUCCAGGUGUAGCGGUGAAAUGCGUAGAGAUCUGGAGGAAUACCGAUGGCGAAGGCAGCCCCCUGGGCCAAUACUGACGCUCAUGCACGAAAGCGUGGGGAGCAAACAGGAUUAGAUACCCGCGUAGUCCCUGUCUCUUAUAC